This 400-nucleotide ribosomal RNA is filed under the name uncultured bacterium. Its description in RNAcentral is "bacterial SSU rRNA". It matches the Rfam family "Bacterial small subunit ribosomal RNA", at positions 355 to 747 of the family's 1533-position model. The record is from RNAcentral.
UCGAGGAUCAUUCGCAAUGGGCGAAAGCCUGACGAUGCGACGCUGCGUGGAGGAUGAAGGCCCUCGGGUUGUAAACUCCUGUCAUGAGGGACGAGGAGACCGCCGGUAACACCGGCGGGAUUUGACGGUACCUCAAGAGGAAGCCACGGCUAACUCUGUGCCAGCAGCCGCGGUAAUACAGAGGUGGCGAGCGUUGUUCGGAUUUACUGGGCGUAAAGGGCGCGUAGGCCGCGCGGUAUGUCGGGUGUGAAAUCUCCGGGCCCAACCCGGAAAGUGCGCCCGAAACUGCCGCGCUCGAGUGCGGGAGGGGAGAUCGGAAUGCAGGGUGUAGCGGUGAAAUGCGUUGAUAUCCUGCAGAACACCGGUGGCGAAGGCGGAUCUCUGGAACGCAACUGACGCU